This 442-nucleotide ribosomal RNA is filed under the name uncultured bacterium. RNAcentral describes it as "partial 16S ribosomal RNA". It matches the Rfam family "Bacterial small subunit ribosomal RNA", at positions 338 to 795 of the family's 1533-position model. The record is from RNAcentral.
CCUACGGGUGGCUGCAGUGAGGAAUAUUGGUCAAUGGGCGCGAGCCUGAACCAGCCAAGUCGCGUGGGCGAAGAAGUAUUUCGGUAUGUAAAGCCCUAUCAGCAGGGAAGAAGAAAUGACGGUACCUGAGUAAGAAGCACCGGCUAAAUACGUGCCAGCAGCCGCGGUAAUACGUAUGGUGCAAGCGUUAUCCGGAUUUACUGGGUGUAAAGGGAGCGCAGGCGGCACGGCAAGCCUGAUGUGAAAGCCCGCGGCCCAACCGCGGGACUGCAUUGGGAACUACCGGGCUGGAGUGCCGGAGAGGUAGGCGGAAUUCCUAGUGUAGCGGUGAAAUGCGUAGAUAUUAGGAGGAACACCAGUGGCGAAGGCGGCCUACUGGACGGUGACUGACGCUGAGGCUCGAAAGCGUGGGGAGCAAACAGGAUUAGAUACCCGUGUAGUC